AUUGAACGCUGGCGGCAUGCCUUACACAUGCAAGUCGAACGGCAGCACGGGAGUAAUCCUGGUGGUGAGUGGCGAACGGGUGAGUAAAGCAUCGGAACGUGCCCAGUCGUGGGGGAUAACGUAGCGAAAGCUACGCUAAUACCGCAUACGAUCUGUGGAUGAAAGCGGGGGACCGUAAGGCCUCGCGCGAUUGGAGCGGCCGAUGUCAGAUUAGGUAGUUGGUGAGGUAAAGGCUCACCAAGCCGACGAUCUGUAGCUGGUCUGAGAGGACGACCAGCCACACUGGGACUGAGACACGGCCCAGACUCCUACGGGAGGCAGCAGUGGGGAAUUUUGGACAAUGGGCGCAAGCCUGAUCCAGCAAUGCCGCGUGCAGGAUGAAGGCCUUCGGGUUGUAAACUGCUUUUGUACGGAGCGAAAAGGCUUCCACUAAUACUGGGGGCUCAUGACGGUACCGUAAGAAUAAGCACCGGCUAACUACGUG
Molecule: ribosomal RNA, 484 nt
Filed under: uncultured bacterium
Lineage: Bacteria
Description: partial 16S ribosomal RNA
Rfam family: Bacterial small subunit ribosomal RNA
Source: RNAcentral